This 67-nucleotide small nuclear RNA is filed under the name Panthera leo (lion). RNAcentral describes it as "U2 spliceosomal RNA (ENSPLOG00000008875.1)". The record is from Rfam by way of RNAcentral. Lineage: Eukaryota; Metazoa; Chordata; Mammalia; Carnivora; Felidae.
AUCGCUUCUCGGCCUUUUGGCUAAGAUCAAGUGUAGUAUUUCAUCUACUUUUUCUGCCAGACCCCAG